ACCUGAAGUUGCCAGCAGCCUCGUAUCAGUGUGAAUCUUCCACUCUGACGCAACAGCUUAAGUACAUGGAAACGUCUUUGUGAAGUCAAAUGACUUCUUUAAGGUAUUUGCUCUACAGCUUCAACUUCCUUUCUCUCCUUCUUCCCCCUGGCUCCAGUUCUGAACUUUUUUAUGUUUCUGUAAGGUGGAGCUAACAAUACUUGGUAAUAACACCACAUACGUUGAACUUUCUGCAGCGACCCACUGAGAAGAGAAGAAGCAGAAAAUUCAGCAAUGGCUAAAAUAUUCACCAGCAAGAGAAGAGAGACAGAGACAGUUCCACUCAUGACUCCCCAAGACAAAAUGGCCCUCAGGGUCAUAGCUGCAGUCUUUUCUCCUAGAUGUAAAACAAUGGGUAAUAAAAGUAUAAUAAUAAUAAUAAU
Long non-coding RNA from Calidris pugnax (ruff), 422 nucleotides. RefSeq lists it as uncharacterized. Lineage: Eukaryota; Metazoa; Chordata; Aves; Charadriiformes; Scolopacidae. The transcript is spliced from 3 exons. The record is from RefSeq and is a predicted model, not a curated record.